AGCCCGCAUGGGGAGGGGAGCAAAGGGAACCCCGACUUGUCGGGGGACCGCUGAGGGAUGGGCCCGCGGCCGAUUAGCUAGUUGGUAGGGUAACGGCCUACCAAGGCGACAAUCGGUAGCCGGCCUGAGAGGGUGGCCGGCGACACUGGGACUGAGAGAUGGUCCAGACUCCUACGGGAGUUAGCAUCAGGGAAUCUUGCGCAAUGGGCGAAAGCCUGACGCAGCGACGCCGCGUGGGUGAUGAAGGCCUUCGGGUCGUAAAGCCCUGUUAGGGGGAAAGAAAUCCCGCUGUACUUGUACGGCGGGGCUGACGGUACCCCCAGAGGAAGCCCCGGCUAACUACGUGCCAGCAGCCGCGGUAAUACGUAUGGGGCGAGCGUUGUCCGGAUUUACUGGGCGUAAAGAGCGCGUAGCGGUCGGGCAGGUCGCCGGUGAAAUCCCCCGGCUCAACCGGGGAACGGCUGGCGAAACCGCCUGGCUAGAGUGCGGGAGAGGGCAGCGGAAUUCCUGGUGUAGCGGUGAAAUGCGUAGAUAUCAGGAGGAACGCCCGUGGCGAAGGCUGCUGCCUGGAACGCCACUGACGCUGAGGCGCGAAAGCUAGGGGAGCGAACGGGAUUAGAUACCCCGGUAGUCCUAGCCGUAAACGAUGGGCACUAGGUGUUGGGAGCAUCGACCCUCCCAGUGCUGGUAUGCUAACGCGUUAAGUGCCCCGCCUGGGGAGUACGGCCGCAAGGUUGAAACUCAAAGGAAUUGACGGGGGCCCGCACAAGCGGUGGAGCAUGUGGCUCAAUCGGAUGCAACGCCGGGAACCUUACCAGGGCUUGACAUCCUCUGACAGCCCCGGAAACGGGGUCUCUCCGAGCAAUCGGAGCAGAGUGACAGAUGGUGCAUGGCUGUCGUCAGCUCGUGCCGUGAGGUGUUUGGUUAAGUCCAGCAACGAGCGCAACCCUCACCAGGUGUUGCUAGCCCUGGCCUUCGGGUCGGGAAGCACUCUCCUGGAACUGCCCCGGUAACGGGGAGGAAGGCGGGGACGACGUCAAGUCGGCAUGCCUCUUACGCCCUGGGCUGCUCACGUGCUACAAUGGCCGGUACAGAGGGCUGCAAAGCCGCGAGGUGGAGCGAAUCCCUAAAGCCGGUCUCAGUUCGGAUUGAAGUCUGCAACUCGACUUCAUGAAGUCGGAAUCGCUAGUAACCGCAAAUCAGCAACGUUGCGGUGAAUACGUUCCCGGGCCUGUACACACCG
RNAcentral lists this ribosomal RNA (1243 nucleotides) under uncultured bacterium. RNAcentral describes it as "bacterial SSU rRNA". It matches the Rfam family "Bacterial small subunit ribosomal RNA", at positions 184 to 1392 of the family's 1533-position model. The record is from RNAcentral.